UACGUAGGGGGCAAGCGUUGUCCGGAAUCAUUGGGCGUAAAGCGCGUGUAGGCGGCUUGGUAAGUCCGCUCUGAAAACCCGGGGCUCAACCCCGGGCCUGCAGUCGAUACGGGCAGACUAGAGUGCGGUAGGGGAGACUGGAAUUCCUGGUGUAGCGGUGAAAUGCGCAGAUAUCAGGAGGAACACCGGUGGCGAAGGCGGGUCUCUGGGCCGUAACUGACGCUGAGGAGCGAAAGCGUGGGGAGCGAACAGG
This 253-nucleotide ribosomal RNA is filed under the name uncultured bacterium. Its description in RNAcentral is "partial 16S ribosomal RNA". It matches the Rfam family "Bacterial small subunit ribosomal RNA", at positions 524 to 776 of the family's 1533-position model. The record is from RNAcentral.